UGCCCAGGUGGCGGAAUUGGUAGACGCGCACGUUUCAGGUGCGUGUGUCGAGAGGCAUGCAGGUUCGAGUCCUGUUCUGGGCACCCA
This 87-nucleotide transfer RNA is filed under the name Bacteroides ovatus. Its description in RNAcentral is "tRNA-Leu". It matches the Rfam family "tRNA". Rfam says of the family: Transfer RNA (tRNA) molecules are approximately 80 nucleotides in length. Their secondary structure includes four short double-helical elements and three loops (D, anti-codon, and T loops). The record is from RNAcentral. RNAcentral also lists the same sequence under 2 other names. Lineage: Bacteria; Pseudomonadati; Bacteroidota; Bacteroidia; Bacteroidales; Bacteroidaceae.